This 468-nucleotide ribosomal RNA is filed under the name uncultured bacterium. RNAcentral describes it as "partial 16S ribosomal RNA". It matches the Rfam family "Bacterial small subunit ribosomal RNA", at positions 28 to 507 of the family's 1533-position model. The record is from RNAcentral.
GAUGAACGCUGACAGAAUGCUUAACACAUGCAAGUCAACUUGAAUUUGGGUUUUUUAACUUAGAUUUGGGUGGCGGACGGGUGAGUAACGCGUAAAGAACUUGCCUCACAGCUAGGGACAACAUUUGGAAACGAAUGCUAAUACCUGAUAUUAUGAUUAUAAGGCAUCUUAGAAUUAUGAAAGCUAUAUGCGCUGUGAGAGAGCUUUGCGUCCCAUUAGCUAGUUGGAGAGGUAACGGCUCACCAAGGCGAUGAUGGGUAGCCGGCCUGAGAGGGUGAACGGCCACAAGGGGACUGAGACACGGCCCUUACUCCUACGGGAGGCAGCAGUGGGGAAUAUUGGACAAUGGACCAAGAGUCUGAUCCAGCAAUUCUGUGUGCACGAUGACGUUUUUCGGAAUGUAAAGGGCUUUCAGUUGGGAAGAAAAAAAUGACGGUACCAACAGAAGAAGUGACGGCUAAAUACGUG